GUGACGAAGCGACGCCGCGUGUGGGAAGAAGGCCUUCGGGUUGUAAACCACUGUCGGGAGUUAAGAAAUGUAAGGAUAUAAAUAGUGUCCUUGCUUGACUAAGGCCCCGGAGGAAGCCACGGCUAACUCUGUGCCAGCAGCCGCGGUAAUACAGAGGCGGCAAGCGUUGUUCGGAAUUAUUGGGCGUAAAGAGCACGUAGGCGGCUAUAUAAGUCGGUUGUGAAAGCCUUCCGCUCAACGGGAGAACAGCAUCCGAUACUGUGUGGCUUGAGUGUGGGAGGGGAGAGCGGAACUUCUGGUGGAGCGGUGAAAUGCGUAGAUAUCAGAAGGAACGCCGGCGGCGAAAGCGGCUCUCUGGCCCAUAACUGACGCUGAGUGUGCGAAAGCUAGGGGAGCAAACGGGAUUAGAUACCCCGGUAGUCCUAGCCGUAAACGAU
Molecule: ribosomal RNA, 437 nt
Filed under: uncultured Planctomycetota bacterium
Lineage: Bacteria; Pseudomonadati; Planctomycetota
Description: bacterial SSU rRNA
Rfam family: Bacterial small subunit ribosomal RNA
Source: RNAcentral